GCGUUGUCCGGAUUUAUUGGGCGUAAAGAGCGUGUAGGCGGUCAGGUAGGUCCGCUGUGAAAACUCCAGGCUUAACCUGGAGACGUCGGUGGAAACCCUCUGACUAGAGUCCGGGAGAGGAAAGUGGAAUUCCUGGUGUAGCGGUGAAAUGCGCAGAUAUCAGGAAGAAUAUCCGUGGCGAAGGCGGCUUUCUGGAACGGUACUGACGCUGAGACGCGAAAGCGUG
This 226-nucleotide ribosomal RNA is filed under the name uncultured bacterium. RNAcentral describes it as "partial 16S ribosomal RNA". It matches the Rfam family "Bacterial small subunit ribosomal RNA", at positions 538 to 763 of the family's 1533-position model. The record is from RNAcentral.